Molecule: ribosomal RNA, 416 nt
Filed under: uncultured bacterium
Lineage: Bacteria
Description: bacterial SSU rRNA
Rfam family: Bacterial small subunit ribosomal RNA
Source: RNAcentral
UAGGGAAUAUUGCACAAUGGGGAAGACCCUGAUGCAGCGACGCCGCGUGAAGGAAGAAGUAUCUCGGUAUGUAAAGCUCUAUCAGCAGGGAAGAAAAUGACGGUACCUGACAUAAGAAGCUCCGGCUAAAUACGUGCCAGCAGCCGCGGUAAUACGUAUGGAGCAAGCGUUAUCCGGAUUUACUGGGUGUAAAGGGAGCGUAGGCGGUAAGGCAAGUCUGAUGUGAAAACCCAGGGCUCAACCCUGGGACUGCAUUGGAAACUGUAGGUCUAGAGUGCCGGAGAGGUAAGCGGAAUUCCUAGUGUAGCGGUGAAAUGCGUAGAUAUUAGGAGGAACACCAGUGGCGAAGGCGGCUUACUGGACGGUAACUGACGUUGAGGCUCGAAAGCGUGGGGAGCAAACAGGAUUAGAUACCC